RNAcentral lists this unclassified non-coding RNA (800 nucleotides) under Polistes fuscatus (common paper wasp). RNAcentral's name for it is "uncharacterized LOC122526309, transcript variant X1". The record is from RNAcentral. Lineage: Eukaryota; Metazoa; Arthropoda; Insecta; Hymenoptera; Vespidae.
AGAGAGAAUCGCGCUACACCGUGAUGCUAUGAUCAAUAUCGGUGUUGCGUCUCAGCCUCCUCUGGACCAUCAUCAAAUGCCAGACGGAUUUGAAAAUAGAGGAAAGGAAGGCGAGAUGAAAGCUGUAACGCAUACUUGUACAUCAAGAAAUGUUUUAGAUUUUCCGGAAGGUGAUUCAAUCGAAGACAUCGCCGAAUCCGUCGACGAAUUGCGUGAAAAAUUAGCGAAUAUGAAGAGAUUAAUGGAGGAACGUAAGGGAACAACUCUGGGGGAAAUCAGUGCACGUAAAAGGAAAGAAGCUUCGGAUAUAAUAGACGGAAAUUUUCUUUCUUGGAUUUUUGGUUCUGCAUUAGUUGUCAUAUUGAGCGUUAGCUUUUACGCUUUUUAUAAUCUUUAUCAUGCGGUACUCAAAAAAUUCCCUUCGCAUCAUACAGAGUUGUAAGAAAAGAAAAAGAAAAAAAGAUUUACAAAAUAUAGAAAAGAAAAAAAAAGGAGAAAGUAAGAAAAAACAGUAAAAAAACCCGUCGAAUGAUCCGUUCGAACGAAGACACGAUACAAAAGAGAAACCGAAAUGGCUAACAUAACUCACCCCCGGAAGAAACACCGUACUCUGGUGUAAUGCGUUUUGUCCGGUUUACGAUGUAAUCGUGACUAACAGACCGACGAGAUCUCUAAUUUCAAUUAUUUUUAUUAUCAGUAAGAAAGUUGAAACAAUAUUGAGGCGACACGUGAUAUUUUUGUCGAUGAAAUUUUCUAUUACAAAAAAAAAAAUGAAAACGUGCAUUUCACUUUGAUCAAAA